GCCGUGGUAGCUCAGAUGGCAAGGGCGUCUAGCUCCUGAUUAGAAGGUCCCAGGUUUAAUCCCAGGAUGGGGCA
This 74-nucleotide transfer RNA is filed under the name Lepisosteus oculatus (spotted gar). It matches the Rfam family "tRNA". Rfam says of the family: Transfer RNA (tRNA) molecules are approximately 80 nucleotides in length. The record is from Rfam by way of RNAcentral. Lineage: Eukaryota; Metazoa; Chordata; Actinopteri; Semionotiformes; Lepisosteidae.